UCAGGAGCAGACAGCAGUGGUAUCACAGGGACAUCUUUCUUCUUUUCAGGAGGAGGGAGAGCCGGAGUUGAUGCUUUAGAACCUUCUUUCUUCUCUCCAAUAGGAGGGAGAGCUGGAGCUGAUCCCUUGGAAGCCCUGGACUUCUUCCGAGCUGGAGCUGGGGCAGGCAUUUCAAGGGAGGCAGGACGUUUGUCCCCUACCUUCUCUGUGACACCUCCGUCCUUGGCAGGGUCAGAUCCCAC
RNAcentral lists this long non-coding RNA (242 nucleotides) under Manihot esculenta (cassava). RNAcentral's name for it is "long non-coding RNA (MESC_LNC011625)". The record is from RNAcentral. Lineage: Eukaryota; Viridiplantae; Streptophyta; Magnoliopsida; Malpighiales; Euphorbiaceae.